RNAcentral lists this long non-coding RNA (1109 nucleotides) under Struthio camelus australis. Its description in RNAcentral is "lncRNA (ENSSCUG00000003570.1)". The record is from RNAcentral. Lineage: Eukaryota; Metazoa; Chordata; Aves; Struthioniformes; Struthionidae.
GGAAGUUUAACAUAACCACGCUGAAUCAGCCCGUGGAGAGGCCUCUGACUGUAUUCAUUCUCUGCACACUGGGAAAUUCACCACUCGUGGUCAAAGCUGAUCUUCCCGCAGCCAGUGUCUAGAGCUCCCCUCCGGCUGAGAACGCUUUCCGCCAUGCCCUGUGAUCGGUGCAACUGUUCACAGCCUCUCACUCCGGCAGACAGAAGGGUGAUCCUAACACAGGCACAGCCAAAAUUUGAUGCUGAUAUUUACAUAUACCUCAAACAGCAAGAACUGAAUACUUAACACGGAGAUAAGACAAAGAGAUCUGCACUUUCCUGGUGGAAGUUCUGAAGCAAAGUAGUAAGUUUAUUUCCUAAAUAUUAUGGGUUUUUUCCCCUCAAUCAAGAAGAAAAUUAUAGUCUAUAAGUAGUAAUUAGUGCUUACCCUAAAUGUCUACUGUAACUUAUUUUUCAUGUUUAGGUUUAAAACCAACUUCAAAAGCAUCUCUCAUGAUUGAAAUCAUAACGCAGUGAAAAGUAAGUAGUAAAAGUGAUAUGUUUCAAUCCCUAUUACAUAUUUAUGAUAUCAGAUAUAAUGAGUAAUUCCCAGAGUGGAGCUUUUCCUAAACUGCAAAAUAAUAUCUUGAAAUAUAUGCUCUACAGUAACCAGAAGAUUAUUCUUCACGCUACUGUGCACAGUGUUCCUAGACUGGGAUACAGAAUCCUGUUUUGCAGUCAAGAUUCUGUGAAUGCCCAGAAUACCAUUUCUAUCUAUUCAUAAAUGGUAAAAACUUCAUAACCAGUGCUUAUUUACACUGCAGCAAGAGGAAAACCCAAGCUUCAAGGAACAUUUAUUCUAAAAAGAGUUUGUCUGCUACAAAAUUUUAAUGCAAACUUGGAAGAUAGCUUCUUAUAGUGCUUCUCCGUGCUCCACAAUGUUCUAACCUGUUUAUUACAUGUAAAAAAGUACUUUACAAUACAAGCCAUCAUAAACUUACUGGAUUACACCAAGACUGAAGACCAAAUCAAUUUCCAUCCACUACAAAUUUAACCAUAUUCUAUUUCUUUGGUACGUACUAACGACACUCAGAGAUGUGCCUGAGACAACAAAAUGGCUUUGGGGAAAAG